This 443-nucleotide ribosomal RNA is filed under the name uncultured bacterium. Its description in RNAcentral is "partial 16S ribosomal RNA". It matches the Rfam family "Bacterial small subunit ribosomal RNA", at positions 338 to 795 of the family's 1533-position model. The record is from RNAcentral.
CCUACGGGCGGCAGCAGUGAGGAAUAUUGGUCAAUGGGGGGAACCCUGAUCCAGCGACGCCGCGUGAGUGAAGAAGUAUUUCGGUAUGUAAAGCUCUAUCAGCAGGGAAGAAAGAAAUGACGGUACCUGACUAAGAAGCCCCGGCUAACUACGUGCCAGCAGCCGCGGUAAUACGUAGGGGGCAAGCGUUAUCCGGAUUUACUGGGUGUAAAGGGAGCGUAGACGGCGAUGCAAGUCUGAAGUGAAAGGCGGGGGCCCAACCUCCGGACUGCUUUGGAAACGGUAUGGCUGGAGUGCAGGAGAGGUAAGUGGAAUUCCUAGUGUAGCGGUGAAAUGCGUAGAGAUUAGGAGGAACACCAGUGGCGAAGGCGGCUUACUGGACUGUAACUGACGUGGAGGCUCGAAAGCGUGGGGAGCAAACAGGAUUAGAUACCCGGGUAGUC